This 239-nucleotide ribosomal RNA is filed under the name uncultured eukaryote. RNAcentral describes it as "partial 18S ribosomal RNA". It matches the Rfam family "Eukaryotic small subunit ribosomal RNA", at positions 1208 to 1456 of the family's 1831-position model. The record is from RNAcentral.
GGGAACCUCACCGGCCCGGACACCGCGAGGAUUGACAGACUGAGAGCUCUUUCUCGAUUCGGUGGGUGGUGGUGCAUGGCCGUUCUUAGUUGGUGGAGCGAUCUGUCUGGUUAAUUCCGAUAACGAACGAGACCCCAACCUGCUAACUAGCCCUCGGGUCCUGCUUCUGUUGGGCCCGACGGAAUGAUUCGCUUCUUAGAGGGACUCGCGGCGCCUAGCCGCACGAAGGGGGGCGAUAA